AAGACCCAGGAAGUGGUGGAGCCAACGGCCAGCCAGACCCGUGGCAGUCCCAGCCCUAGGGUGCUCUCCGGGGUCGGCCAUUUAUUGGUGAGGCAACAGCCCCUUGACGACAGGGUUGUCGCAUUGGAGAUAAAGUCCGAGGAGGUGAACUAACCUUUCAACGUGCCACUGGCAGGGAAACUGUCUUCCUUUUCUCCAAGAUGUACAGAACCAAAGUGGGCUUGAAGGACCGCCAGCAGCUCUACAAGCUGAUCAUUAGCCAGCUGCUAUAUGACGGCUACAUCAGCAUCGCCAAUGGCCUCAUCAAUGAAAUCAAGCCUCAGUCUGUCUGUGCACCCUCGGAGCAGCUCCUGCAUCUCAUCAAACUAGGUAGAUUGUGAACACAAAUCCAUACAUCCCAUGGCAAGGUUUUAGAUGUUUUCAUAUGGCAGAAUUUUUCAAGAUUAUUCUUGUUUUGUUUUAGUGCCUAGUAUGAGCCGGGUACUUCAGUAAGGAAGUAGUUCAGUGUGAGUUCAGGAGGUAGCUCAGUAAGUACGGGGUAAGCAAAGUUCAGAUUAUGGAGACCUUAAGCUGGUUCUGGCCUG
RNAcentral lists this small RNA (584 nucleotides) under Pongo abelii (Sumatran orangutan). RNAcentral's name for it is "retained intron". Lineage: Eukaryota; Metazoa; Chordata; Mammalia; Primates; Hominidae. The record is from RNAcentral.